RNAcentral lists this ribosomal RNA (301 nucleotides) under uncultured bacterium. RNAcentral describes it as "partial 16S ribosomal RNA". It matches the Rfam family "Bacterial small subunit ribosomal RNA", at positions 509 to 807 of the family's 1533-position model. The record is from RNAcentral.
CAGCCGCCGCGGGAAUACGUAGGGUGCGAGCGUUAAUCGGAAUUACUGGGCGUAAAGCGUGCGCAGGCGGUUAUAUAAGACAGAUGUGAAAUCCCCGGGUUCAACCUGGGACCUGCAUUUGUGACUGUAUAGCUAGAGUACGGUAGAGGGGGAUGGAAUUCCGCGUGUAGCAGUGAAAUGCGUAGAUAUGCGGAGGAACACCGAUGGCGAAGGCAAUCCCCUGGACCUGUACUGACGCUCAUGCACGAAAGCGUGGGGAGCAAACAGGAUUAGAUACCCGAGUAGUCCCUGUCUCUUAUAC